RNAcentral lists this ribosomal RNA (741 nucleotides) under uncultured Legionella sp. RNAcentral's name for it is "bacterial SSU rRNA". It matches the Rfam family "Bacterial small subunit ribosomal RNA", at positions 247 to 980 of the family's 1533-position model. The record is from RNAcentral. Lineage: Bacteria; Pseudomonadati; Pseudomonadota; Gammaproteobacteria; Legionellales; Legionellaceae.
AGCUGGUGGGCGUACGGCUACCAUGGCGACGAUCGGUAGCUGGCCUGAGAGGAUGACCAGCCACACUGGAACUGAGACACGGUCCAGACUCCUACGGGAGGCAGCAGUGGGGAAUAUUGGACAAUGGGGGCAACCCUGAUCCAGCAAUGCCGCGUGUGUGAAGAAGGCCUGAGGGUUGUAAAGCACUUUCAGUGGGGAGGAGGGUUGAUAGGUUAAGAACUGAUUAACUGGACGUUACCCACAUAAGAAUGACCGGCUAACUCCGUGCCAUCAGCCGCGGUAAGACUGAGGGUGCAAGCGUUAAUCGUAAUUACUGGGCGUAAAGGGUGCGUAGGUGGUUGAUUAAGUUAUCUGUGAAAUUCCUGGGCUUAACCUGGGACGGUCAGAUAAUACUGGUUGACUCGAGUAUGGGAGAGGGUAGUGGAAUUUCCGGUGUAGCGGUGAAAUGCGUAUAGAUCGGAAGGAACACCAGUGGCCAAGGCGGCUACCUGGCCUAAUACUGACACUGAGGCACGAAAGCGUGUGGAGCAAACAGGAUUACAUACCCUGGUAGUCCACGCUGUAUACGAUGUCAACUAGUUGUUGGUUAUAUAUAUAAUAAUUAGUGUUGCAGCACACCCCAUAAGUUGAUAGCCUGGGGAGUACGGACGAAAGAUUAGAACUCCUAAAAAUUGACGGGGGGGCGCACAAGAUUUGGAGCGAUGGUUUUUUUUGGUGCAAUGCAAGUAAACAUCCCUACCC